This 1242-nucleotide long non-coding RNA is filed under the name Amborella trichopoda. Its description in RNAcentral is "long non-coding RNA (ATRI_LNC003661)". The record is from RNAcentral. Lineage: Eukaryota; Viridiplantae; Streptophyta; Magnoliopsida; Amborellales; Amborellaceae.
AACAGAUUUGCACUUCUCUUUUUCAGAUAAAGAUGCAUCUACUCCAUCAGCCACACAAGCAUAUGGCCUUUGAGACACGAACCUUCGACCCAUAGGUUUCCUAUCUUCACCUAGAAUUUCAUCACACCACUCUAGAUAGCCACAUCCAGUCUCAUUCUGGUGGUUAAUAUCAUAAGAUAAAUGUGUGUUAGAUAUAUGCUUACAAAUGAAUACCAAUAUACUUCUACAUUAUAUCAAUGAAUAAAUCACAUAUCUUCCAAUUAGAGCAUUUAUAGAAUGCCUAUUGUUGUUAUCAUGUGUCUUUACAAUAAACACACGCAUCCGACCACAUCCUGGUUUGCAUUUACAAAUCUUUGGAGGGAAUUGGUUGUCAAGAUCCAUUCUAUAAAGAAGUCAUAACGAAUAUAUUAAAAAAAUCAUUACAAACAUUCUUAAUCCAUUUAUUUGAGAUGGUUAACAAUGGGAACAAACCUAAUAGAUAUAAUUUUAAUUCAUCAGGAAGAAGGAAAAACAAUUUGUGUUCUUGUCAAAUUCAAUGAAAUUGAAUAUUAAGAGUUUCAUAAUUAGAUAAUACAUAAAAAAAAAAGAGUUUAUUGGGAUUCUAUAAAAAGUAUUCCAUAAAAAAAAAAACGAAUGAGUUAACUAAAGAAGCAAACUGCAUAUUUGUGGUGAACAUAGUGGCAAUAUAAUUACAAUUCACAUUAGCUAAAAGGAUUUUGCAUUUCCAACAAACUUUGCAUAAUAUGAGUCAUGUUAAAAACAAUAAUAAAUAUUAUGACUUAGAUUUAAUUGUGCAAACCAAAAUCAUCAUAAGACUCUCCAAACCAUUAAAUACAAAGGUUAACAACCCCAUCUGUACAAGUAUACCCUAAAAAUCAGAUAAAGAGAGAAUAAAAAUCUUGGUGGAUUCUACCAAAAUUGUUUGGGAUUCCACAAAAAAACCCAAACUCCCCCCAAAUCAGUGAUGGAAAUUGAGAACUCAGAGAUUGUAUGAGUCAAAUACAUAGAGAUAGAGUACCUGCGUGAGAUAAAGCACCUAUCAAUGGGGAACUUGAGGGACGAGCCUUUGGACAUGGAAGACGAUGGGAUGAUCUGAGCGAUUAGGGGAGCGAGAGGCAGAGAGGGUGUGCGCAGCAGCAAGAGUGGCAGAGAGAAUGAGAGGCGCUUGGCACAGGGAACCAUAGGCAGGGUGCACGAGAGGGGCUAACUAGGGAGGAGAGGUUUGGCAAAGGGAAGAGAAAG